Molecule: RNA transcript, 1354 nt
Organism: Alosa alosa (allis shad)
Lineage: Eukaryota; Metazoa; Chordata; Actinopteri; Clupeiformes; Clupeidae
Gene: znf414
Gene name: zinc finger protein 414
Exons: 8
Source: RefSeq, a predicted model, not a curated record
CUGCAACAAUGCGCCGGUAGGGGGUGCCGUUAAGGGACACUCCCGUCUGAGUUAAAUAAGCGCUCGGCUAAAGCUAACGUCGGCCUUUUAGAGACAAGAAUCCAAUUGUAAGCUGCUAUAAGGACUUUAUGUCUGAGCUAGCGAAACUGUUGUCCUCGGACUUCACUGGUCUGACUGUUUACACUCCUGAAAUUGCAAACAUGUCCACCGACGUGAAGCCUGCCAUUGUACAGUCCACCAAUACCACGAUGCCAGCAGGCAGCAGUCGCGCAUCCUGCACAAUCUACGGGUGCAAGAGGUCCUACACGGACAUGACGGCGCUCAACAGUCACAUCAACGACCACCAGAUUCCUGCAGAGUCUUUGCCAGGGAAAGUAUUCCUGUGCUCUUCAUUGGGCUGUGAUGGGUCAUUCUCCAGCAUGCAACAGCUAAUGGAACACAUGAGGGUCCACUAUAAGCCAAAUAUCUUUUUCAUCUGUGAGAGUUGCCGGGCCAAGCUGCGAUCCUAUCGCACACUGCUGAAACACCUGCAAACCUGCGCUAAAGUAGCCAAGAGCAAGGCAGCGCGUGCAGGAGCGCUCGGUGAACAAGGGCCCGAGUCUGAGCUUCCGACCCCCAUCUCAGCACCUGACCCAUCGGAGGCGUACAAGGAGGAGGAUAUGGAGACAGAAAUCAGCCUGCCGCCCGCAGAAACCCCCACAGCUAUGGGGCGUUCACCCGACCCCCUGCUCUCUUCCAGUCCCAAGGAGGCUCCGGCUCAGAGUCCCAGCAGUGUGCCUCAGACCUCCCCAUCGCAACCACUGUCCUCCCCCUCGCCUCAGAGUGCUUCAGCUGCCUCCAAUGCUGUCUGGAGGAAAAAUCAAGACACGCCUGGGCCUCAAAUGCACAGAUGGAACUCUCCAAGCAGUCACACUAUAAGUAGAGGUACGGUCCAGGCCAGUCCUUCAGCAGCCGCAUCUUAUGGGAGCACACCAGGGGGCGCUACAACUGUCUCCAGUGUGGCCACAGCACCCCCAACCGCAAGGAGAUGACCACUCACAUCGAGGGCCAACAUAAGAGCCCCUCUGGAAAAACAUCCUCUGAGACUGACGGAACAGAGAGCCCUACACAGCUACAGUCUCCAUCAGAUGGGGAACUCUCGGCCAACACCCACCCGUGACUCAUUCUGCAUCACUCAGUAGUGAAUAAGGUCUUCGCCAUUGCAUCUCAUGACAGCACUGAAAACUCAGUUGUAAUAUUUCAUCAAAGGCUAUUUUGUGACGCAUAUGAGAAUAUUUUGAUGCUGCUUCAGUUGUAUGUUUUUUGUCUUGUCUUUGUGUUACCCUACAGACUAAUAAAAUAUUUCCAUGCUGAA